RNAcentral lists this ribosomal RNA (290 nucleotides) under uncultured bacterium. RNAcentral describes it as "partial 16S ribosomal RNA". It matches the Rfam family "Bacterial small subunit ribosomal RNA", at positions 773 to 1060 of the family's 1533-position model. The record is from RNAcentral.
GUGGAUUAGAUACCCUGGUAGUCCACGCUGUAAACGAUCGAUACUAGGUGUGGGAGGACUGACCCCUUCCGUGCCGCAGCUAACGCAAUAAGUAUCGCACCUGGGGAGUACGAUCGCAAGGUUGAAACUCAAAGGAAUUGACGGGGGCCCGCACAAGCGGUGGAGUAUGUGGUUUAAUUCGAAGCAACGCGAAGAACCUUACCAGGGCUUGACAUCCCGAUGCCCGGUAUAGAGAUAUACCUUUUUCUUCGGAAACAUCGGUGACAGGUGGUGCACGGUUGUCGCCAGCU